CACCGAACUAAAUGUUGAAUAUCAAAAUAACAUUUUCGCAUGACAUUUUGAAGCGAAAUCAAAGUUUUCCUUCAAUCACGUAAUCUCCAGGCAAAAGGGAAUCAGGCUGCGGAAAAUAAUUAUUCAAAACAAUGGCAGCAGCGAGUGGAAAAUUGGUAGGAUUGUGGAAGCAAGCGUUGAACGAAAUUCCGGAGGUACUUUUGGCCGGUGUUGCUGCAACUUCAAUGGCUACAGUGGCUGCAUUUAAACUUCACUAUGACCACAAGAACGGUAAAACGACCAAUAAAGUGUACAAAUACCUACCAGUUCAUAUGCGUCCAGAUGAUCCACGCGUCGCCAAAAUUCAUAAACCAUAGGACACCCGUGUAAAAUAGAAAAAGAACCAACAAAAAUGUAAUCACUUAGAAUGUUUUUGUCUCUCGUAGACAUUUGUACACUCAGUAAUAAAGAAAUAUGUUAUGGAUAAAAUAUCAAAA
Molecule: long non-coding RNA, 476 nt
Organism: Sitodiplosis mosellana (orange wheat blossom midge)
Lineage: Eukaryota; Metazoa; Arthropoda; Insecta; Diptera; Cecidomyiidae
Exons: 2
Source: RefSeq, a predicted model, not a curated record